Molecule: ribosomal RNA, 239 nt
Filed under: Klebsiella pneumoniae
Lineage: Bacteria; Pseudomonadati; Pseudomonadota; Gammaproteobacteria; Enterobacterales; Enterobacteriaceae
Description: partial 16S ribosomal RNA
Rfam family: Bacterial small subunit ribosomal RNA
Source: RNAcentral
GAGGCAGCAGUGGGGAAUAUUGCACAAUGGGCGCAAGCCUGAUGCAGCCAUGCCGCGUGUGUGAAGAAGGCCUUCGGGUUGUAAAGCACUUUCAGCGGGGAGGAAGGCGGUGAGGUUAAUAACCUCAUCGAUUGACGUUACCCGCAGAAGAAGCACCGGCUAACUCCGUGCCAGCAGCCGCGGUAAUAAGGAGGGUGCAAGCGUUAAUCGGAAUUACUGGGCGUAAAGCGCACGCAGGC